CGUAACGCGACCGACGGCGGCUGAUGGAUUCUCCGUCCGCGCACAAAUAAUGAGCAGCAAUAAGACAUUACUCACCUCCGCGCUCACUUUCCUGUCGUCCCCGGAGUUACGGAUGCCGCUGCUGGACAGGAAUGUCCACCGUGACGCUGUCCGGUCCUCCGGUACGGUCUGCUCCGUAAACUGGGCAAUCUUCAAUAGCCAUGAUGCAGACAGGACCCAGGAUGAUGGAAACAUAUCAAAAUUUGCAGGUCCCAAUCACAGCAGCAAAUCUCCAACAAAACGUCCGAAAAAGAAAACUAUCAAGGUGCUGCAGUGGUCCAGUUAAAGUCCAGACCUGAACCUGACUGAGACACUGUGGUGCAUAAGGGACA
Astatotilapia calliptera (eastern happy) is the source of this 371-nucleotide long non-coding RNA. The record is from Ensembl. NCBI's taxonomy places the organism in Eukaryota, Metazoa, Chordata, Actinopteri, Cichliformes, Cichlidae.